GGGUGUAGCUCAGUAGUAGAGCAUGUGCUUAGCAUGCACAAAGCCUUGGAUUUAAUCCCCAGGACCCCCA
RNAcentral lists this transfer RNA (70 nucleotides) under Fukomys damarensis (Damara mole-rat). It matches the Rfam family "tRNA". Rfam says of the family: Transfer RNA (tRNA) molecules are approximately 80 nucleotides in length. Their secondary structure includes four short double-helical elements and three loops (D, anti-codon, and T loops). Lineage: Eukaryota; Metazoa; Chordata; Mammalia; Rodentia; Bathyergidae. The record is from Rfam by way of RNAcentral.